UACGGAGGGUGCAAGCGUUGCUCGGAAUUAUUGGGCGUAAAGGGUAGGUAGGUGGUCUCAUUUGUCUGGGGUGAAAGCCUUGAGCUUAACUCAAGAAGUGCCCCAGAAACGGUGAGACUAGAGUCCUGGAGAGGGUCGUGGAAUUCCCGGUGUAGCGGUGAAAUGCGCAGAUAUCGGGAGGAACACCAAUGGCGAAGGCAGCUCGCUGGGACGGUACUGACGCUGAGACGCGAAAGCGUGGGGAGCAAACAGG
This 253-nucleotide ribosomal RNA is filed under the name uncultured bacterium. Its description in RNAcentral is "partial 16S ribosomal RNA". It matches the Rfam family "Bacterial small subunit ribosomal RNA", at positions 524 to 776 of the family's 1533-position model. The record is from RNAcentral.